UGACUGCCGGCGCCUGUGUCCCUUCAAUCAAUGGCUGUUGUGCCUGACCGUUUUAUGAGUGCUUGCGUGCUGCUACCAGUUAUAUGGGAAGUUGCAUUCGCCACAUGUUGCUUUUGUCGUGCACGCCCUAGGGCGCUGCACGUCGACUUGAAAGCGUUCACGGCGUUGCCUCGUGUAGCUAGCCGCCUUGGCAGCUUUCACCAAGGACACCUUGUGGACGCUCUUGGUCUCGGAUGCGGCACACGGAAAAGGCCGGUGUUGCUUCGGCGCCCCGUGCCUAGCAAAGAUUGUCCAAUCGGAAAAAAACGACAGCCGGCCCGGCUGAUGCCUUGUGUAGAGGCUGGUGUCGGCUCGUCGAUGAGGACGUGCUACCUGGUUGAUCCUGCCAGUAG
Molecule: unclassified non-coding RNA, 392 nt
Filed under: Axonopus centralis
Lineage: Eukaryota; Viridiplantae; Streptophyta; Magnoliopsida; Poales; Poaceae
Description: partial external transcribed spacer
Source: RNAcentral